Molecule: ribosomal RNA, 1346 nt
Filed under: uncultured bacterium
Lineage: Bacteria
Description: partial 16S ribosomal RNA
Rfam family: Bacterial small subunit ribosomal RNA
Source: RNAcentral
GACGAACGCUGGCGGCGCGCUUAACACAUGCAAGUCGAACGGAAAGGCCCUGCUUUUGUGGGGUGCUCGAGUGGCGAACGGGUGAGUAACACGUGAGUAACCUGCCCUUGACUUUGGGAUAACUUCAGGAAACUGGGGCUAAUACCGGAUAGGAGCUCCUGCUGCAUGGUGGGGGUUGGAAAGUUUCGGCGGUUGGGGAUGGACUCGCGGCUUAUCAGCUUGUUGGUGGGGUAGUGGCUUACCAAGGCUUUGACGGGUAGCCGGCCUGAGAGGGUGACCGGCCACAUUGGGACUGAGAUACGGCCCAGACUCCUACGGGAGGCAGCAGUGGGGAAUAUUGCACAAUGGGCGGAAGCCUGAUGCAGCAACGCCGCGUGCGGGAUGACGGCCUUCGGGUUGUAAACCGCUUUCGCCUGUGACGAAGCGUGAGUGACGGUAAUGGGUAAAGAAGCACCGGCUAACUACGUGCCAGCAGCCGCGGUGAUACGUAGGGUGCGAGCGUUGUCCGGAUUUAUUGGGCGUAAAGGGCUCGUAGGUGGUUGAUCGCGUCGGAAGUGUAAUCUUGGGGCUUAACCCUGAGCGUGCUUUCGAUACGGGUUGACUUGAGGAAGGUAGGGGAGAAUGGAAUUCCUGGUGGAGCGGUGGAAUGCGCAGAUAUCAGGAGGAACACCAGUGGCGAAGGCGGUUCUCUGGGCCUUUCCUGACGCUGAGGAGCGAAAGCGUGGGGAGCGAACAGGCUUAGAUACCCUGGUAGUCCACGCUGUAAACGGUGGGUACUAGGUGUGGGGUCCAUUCCACGGGUUCCGUGCCGUAGCUAACGCUUUAAGUACCCCGCCUGGGGAGUACGGCCGCAAGGCUAAAACUCAAAGGAAUUGACGGGGCCCCGCACAAGCGGCGGAGCAUGCGGAUUAAUUCGAUGCAACGCGUAGAACCUUACCUGGGUUUGACAUGGAUCGGGAGUGCUCAGAGAUGGGUGUGCCUCUUUUGGGGUCGGUUCACAGGUGGUGCAUGCCUGUCGUCAGCUCGUGUCGUGAGAUGUUGGGUUAAGUCCCGCAACGAGCGCAACCCUUGUUCACUGUUGCCAGCACGUUAUGGUGGGGACUCAGUGGAGACCGCCGGGGUCAACUCGGAGGAAGGUGGGGAUGACGUCAAGUCAUCAUGCCCCUUAUGUCCAGGGCUUCACGCAUGCUACAAUGGCUGGUACAGAGAGUGGCGAGCCUGUGAGGGUGAGCGAAUCUCGGAAAGCCGGUCUCAGUUCGGAUUGGGGUCUGCAACUCGACCUCAUGAAGUCGGAGUCGCUAGUAAUCGCAGAUCAGCAACGCUGCGGUGAAUACGUUCCCGGGGCU